Molecule: ribosomal RNA, 429 nt
Filed under: Acidobacteriota bacterium
Lineage: Bacteria; Pseudomonadati; Acidobacteriota
Description: Acidobacteria bacterium partial 16S ribosomal RNA
Rfam family: Bacterial small subunit ribosomal RNA
Source: RNAcentral
UGGGGAAUUUUGGACAAUGGGGGAAACCCUGAUCCAGCCAUCCCGCGUGUGCGAUGAAGGCCUUCGGGUUGUAAAGCACUUUUGGCAGGAAAGAAACGUCAUGGGUUAAUACCCCGUGAAACUGACGGUACUUGCAGAAUAAGCACCGGCUAACUACGUGCCAGCAGCCGCGGUAAUACGUAGGGUGCAAGCGUUAAUCGGAAUUACUGGGCGUAAAGCGUGCGCAGGCGGUUCGGAAAGAAAGAUGUGAAAUCCCAGAGCUCAACUUUGGAACUGCAUUUUUAACUACCGGGCUAGAGUGUGGCAGAGGGGGGUGGAAUUCCGCGUGUAGCAGUGAAAUGCGUAGAUAUGCGAAGGAACACCGAUGGCGAAGGCAGCCUCCUGGGAUAACACUGACGCUCAUGCACGAAAGCGUGGGGAGCAAACAGG